Non-coding RNA from Paramuricea clavata, 735 nucleotides. The record is from the annotation of a GenBank genome assembly. Lineage: Eukaryota; Metazoa; Cnidaria; Anthozoa; Malacalcyonacea; Plexauridae.
GUCGAACACAAUCUCGUACCCAGAGCAACGCCCGCGCGCGGGCCAGGACGGCACCGGCUCUGGGGAAACUGACAACCGGAACCCCUAAAUUUAGGGGUUCCGGUUCUUUGUCGGCAUGCACGAUUGAUAAACGUUAAACCAAUCACAGCACAAGAAAAAUUCAAUUUCCCCAGAGCCAACGCCACCCCAGCCUGCGCACAGGCACCGCUCUGAGUACGAGAUUGGGUCGAACAUUGAUAUUAUGUGAUGUUGAGCGAUGUUAUUUAAGCGGGAUUUGGAAAGGCCAGUGGAAUUUACUGAACAGCGGUUUAUUGCUAUCGUCAGCCAUAUUGGAAACAUUUUACGAGAAUAAAUGGUAGUGACGGGCGAUACCAGCUUUUUUGGUUUCGAUACGAUACCAGUCCGAUACCAUGAAUUUUGGUCGAUACCGAUACCAAAAUCGAUACCGAUACUCAAUUUUUUCCAUUUAUUAAAAUAACUUUUAAAACACGAACAUUAAUGUUUAAAACAAGUCAAAGAAUACUCUAACUGGAGUACCUGCCAAAUAAUCGAACAUAACAUUUGCAAUUAUGAUUUUAAAUCAAAACAACAAUGUUUUCCUCAAAUAUAUUGCUAAUUAGCUACAUGUUUUUGUUUAAGAACAGCAUCAUGUCAACAUUUUUUGCCUUCAGGGGCCUUCAGUCUGUUGCCUUCAUGAAGCAUUAAGUGAUUGGUCAGGAAUACUGACCAAAAACA